GAUGUUUAUGCAUCUAGGGAACCAUGGAGAUUUUACCAUGUGAUAUUUCCUCAAGCAAACUAAGUUAUUUUGCAAUUUGCUGCUCAAGUUGUGGCUCUUCUGCAGGUAUGUCAUUGUGGUCCUUUCCACUAUAUUUAUUUGACGUAUAUGCUUCCAGACAAUAACUUAGGUUUUGUACUACAUGGUAAAUGAAAUGAAAUUUCUAAUAUGCUAGAACGUACAAUGGUAAUUGUUAGUUUCAUUAGUAUUUCUCGGCAAACCCUCGUUCUUUCUUGGUCUGCUGAAAAUAAUUGUUAUCAGUUUUUCUUUACAUUGUCUAUAGAGAAAGUGAUGUUUUUAAGAGAUAUUUUUGUAACAUGAGCAAUGGUGCUUACUUCUUAUAUCCCAUAUAUUGUUGAAUUAUGUGCUUAUGAGGCAAAACGGUCAUGGCGGUCCUGCACAAGUGGAUGAAUGACUGGAAGGGGCGGCACCACGACGGUUAAGGUGGUUUAUACCCAGCCGGGGAGGACGACCCCCUGCAAUGGGCACGGAAAGAUGUUGCAGCAGCGAACGAGGAGGCGGAGAUGCGCAAAGCAGAGUAGGAAAAACGUGCUCUGGUCCUCCUCCAAGCCCGCCGGCGACUCCCUAACAUGGCAAUGAUUGAGGAUUGACGGAUAUAUUGAGAUCAACUUUUCGAUGCAAUUUGGAUGAUCAAAUCACACUACUAUCUGAGCAUAUAUGAGAUGUUCGCACAGCUAUAUUUUUAAAUGUUCAUAAGGUUUGUGAACAUACAAUUUACUACAUGAAGGAUGUGCCUGGCUUCCAUGUUGAAGUAGUAGGACUACUUCCACAUAUGCGAGAGAAGAACUAUGAUCGGAGGUACUAUGUAUGCUUGAUCCAAUUUAGACAUCAACAAUUAUGUAUCUAAAAGCUGGAGUGCUCCUUGAACAUUGUACUGUAUAUAUGAUUGAAAUGAGUUGCAUGUUGUCGGUGACGACGAGUUGAACCAAUGGAAGCGGCUGUAAUGGUAAGAUAGAGAAGAUGGCCGUGGGAGAAAAAGAGGACGGCAGUAGUGGUAAAGAAGAGAAGAUCAUUGAUGUAAAAGGAGGACAUGUGUUGGACCUAGCAUGUCUAAAUACAAGCAUGUGGUCAUAAGUAUUUUCUUUUCCUUACAAACGAGAGUUGGUUAUUUGGCUUCACAACCUCCAUAUUUCAAUUUGGCAUGCAACGACA
This is a long non-coding RNA of Triticum dicoccoides, 1212 nucleotides long. RefSeq lists it as uncharacterized. The transcript is spliced from 4 exons. Lineage: Eukaryota; Viridiplantae; Streptophyta; Magnoliopsida; Poales; Poaceae. The record is from RefSeq and is a predicted model, not a curated record.